Cicer arietinum (chickpea) is the source of this 1328-nucleotide non-coding RNA. NCBI's taxonomy places the organism in Eukaryota, Viridiplantae, Streptophyta, Magnoliopsida, Fabales, Fabaceae. The record is from RefSeq and is a predicted model, not a curated record.
AUUUAACUUCUCACGAAGUUGCACUUGAUUCGUGGAUAGUGCAAUCACCGGAAGAGGAAGCGAACACAUCGGCGAGACGAGGGUUCCAAACGGAGGAAUAAACACAAUAAGCGUGUUCUUUGAAAGUGCGAACGGAAAUGGGACGAUCGAGAGUUUAUAAUUUGACGGUGUCAUCCCAUGAACCGAAGAGGAAAGAGUCACGACAAACGGGGUUAAGCGGUGGCGACGGCUAUGGGGUUUUCGUAGAAUGGUCUGAACUUGACGGAGUAACUGUUGAAUGGGGUUUUGAAAACCGGCAUCAUUUUGAGAAUCGGAGUUUGGUCAGGUGAAAGAGUGAGUAUUAGGUGUUUGAUGUUAUGCGCCUGAGGUCAAAUUUCCCACUUGAACCUACAUGAUGAAUUGCUUCUCUUCAAAGAUGUUAUUGCGAAGGUUACUUAUGAUGUAUGUAUGACUACUUUAAGUAUUUGAGCUUGAGUUUUAUCUCCUUAUUCCCAAUAAAGAGUUGCCUCUGUAUAUUUACUUCUACUUUUAGUUUGGAACAUUCAGCAUUUUCCCAUCUUCUAUUUAGGGAUAUAAAUGUAGUUUUUGUCACAAUAUAAAAAAGUCCUCUUUAGAUCGCUGUUUACGACCCUUUUUUUCUUGACCUGGCUUUGUUAAAGUUGUAUAAACUUUUAGAAUUAGGCAUUAAAAUCUUUGCUCCUGUAAGACCUCACACAACGACUAAAGGAGAGGAAUUUGGAAUGUCAAGGGUUAUGGGGAAAGGUGUUAAUUCUUUAGGAAUAAGCAUAUAGAAGGGAGAGAGAAGGAUCUGGGGGAGUUAGUCAAGAAUUGAGUAAGCUAAAAAGGUUCGGUUAUCAAUGCAGUGGCAGAGUUUGAGACAUAGUAAUCAUAUAAAAGAUGGUAAGAGCAGUAACUGAUAAUGGAAUCUGUAGCAGAAAGAAAUCAUCAAGAGGUCACCACAGAUUUGUAGGAGUUCUUCAAAGACCAUCAGGAAGAUGGGUGGCAGAGAUCAAAGACUCUAUAUAGAAAAUUAGGCUCUGGCUCGGUACAUUUGAUACAGCUGAAGAUGCAGCUCGUGCUUAUGACACUGCUGCAUGAGCUUUAAGAGGUGCUAAUGCAUGAACAAACUUUGAUUUGCCACAAGCUGCAACCAGUGGUGUUGGUGGUGGCGCCAAACAUGGUGCUAGUUCAACUUUCAAGAUGGAAAACACUGAACCCUUUUCUUUUGAGGAUGUAAAUGAAUCUGUGUCAGAUUCAAAUUGUUUUCUUGGUGCACUAAAAGCAAAACUUUUUGAUGGAAAAGAAGAGAAGUUUUUUUCAUUUCCUUU